Molecule: ribosomal RNA, 467 nt
Filed under: uncultured Alphaproteobacteria bacterium
Lineage: Bacteria; Pseudomonadati; Pseudomonadota; Alphaproteobacteria
Description: bacterial SSU rRNA
Rfam family: Bacterial small subunit ribosomal RNA
Source: RNAcentral
GAGUUUGAUCGUGGCUCAGAGCGAACGCUGGCGGCAGGCCUAAUACAUGCAAGUCGAACGGCUCUUCGGAGCAGUGGCGGACGGGUGAGUAACGCGUGGGAACGUGCCCUUUGGUUCGGAACAACACAGGGAAACUUGUGCUAAUACCGAAUGUGCCCUUCGGGGGAAAGAUUUAUCGCCAUUGGAGCGGCCCGCGUUGGAUUAGCUAGUUGGUGGGGUAAAGGCCCACCAAGGCGACGAUCCAUAGCUGAUCUGAGAGGAUGAUCAGCCACACUGGGACUGAGACACGGCCCAGACUCCUACGGGAGGCAGCAGUAGGGAAUCUUGCGCAAUGGGCGAAAGCCUGACGCAGCCAUGCCGCGUGAAUGAUGAAGGUCUUAGGAUUGUAAAAUUCUUUCACCGGGGAAGAUAAUGACGGUACCCGGAGAAGAAGCCCCGGCUAACUUCGUGCCAGCCGCCGCAGUAAU